AACGAACGCUGGCGGCAUGCCUAACACAUGCAAGUCGAACGAACCCUUCGGGGUUAGUGGCGCACGGGUGCGUAACACGUGGGAAUCUGCCCUUUGCUUCGGAAUAACAGUUAGAAAUGACUGCUAAUACCGGAUAAUGUCUUCGGACCAAAGAUUUAUCGGCAAAGGAUGAGCCCGCGUAGGAUUAGCUUGUUGGUGGGGUAAUGGCCUACCAAGGCUAAGACGCUUAGCUGGUCUGAGAGGAUGAUCAGCCACACUGGGACUGAGACACGGCCCAGACUCCUACGGGAGGCAGCAGUGGGGAAUAUUGGACAAUGGGCGCAAGCCUGAUCCAGCCACGCCGCGUGAGUGAUGAAGGCCUCGGUCGUAAGACGUCUGUGGGAGGGACGGAAGUAGGCGGCCGGUCGGAA
Molecule: ribosomal RNA, 410 nt
Filed under: uncultured bacterium
Lineage: Bacteria
Description: bacterial SSU rRNA
Rfam family: Bacterial small subunit ribosomal RNA
Source: RNAcentral